AUGGCCUUCUUCGAAGCAUGUGGGGCAUGCUGAGUGCCCAGUGAAGGUCCAGAGUGGAGCUGUGCACUGGCUGUGGAAGUUGACUGUGCUUACCUUUCAGUUUUGUGUAUUUACUGAAAUGGUUUUCAUCCACCUUAGCUAGUUAUCUGAAGAAACCUAUGGUGUCUUACCUUCGAUUUUUGAAAGAACAGCUACUCAUAUUUAAAGUUCAGAACCCAGAUGCAAAAAAUUCAGAACUAAUUAAAAGAAUCACUGAGCUAUGGAGAGAACUUGCUGAUUCAGAGAAAAAAAUAUAUGAAGAUGCUAACAGGGCAGUCUGGCAGGCAUUCAGAGAAGAGAUAAACAGAAUUCAGGAACAGCUAACUCCAAGUCAGAUAAUAUCUUUGGAAAAGAAAUCAUGCAAAAACUUUAAAAAAAGAAAGCGUUAAUAAAAAAGAGAAAGCUAAUAAUGCUUGGAAAACCAGAAAGAUCUUGCUCAGCUUACAACAUUUUUGUAUCUGAAAGCUUCCAAGAAGCUAAGGAUGGUUCAUCACAGGCAAAGCUGAAGACUGUAAAUGAAAACUGGAAAAAUCUGUCUAGUUCUCAAAACAAGUAUACAUUCAGCUUGCUAAAGAUGAUAAAAUUCAUUAUGAUAAUGAAAUGAAGUCUUGGGAAGAACAAAUGAUUGAAGUUGGACAAAAUGAUUUUAUACAUCUUGAAAUGAAGCAACCACCGAAAUUUGGCAAUGAGGAGUGUUAA
This 738-nucleotide long non-coding RNA is filed under the name Homo sapiens (human). Its description in RNAcentral is "non-protein coding lnc-ARHGAP20-7:2". The record is from RNAcentral. Lineage: Eukaryota; Metazoa; Chordata; Mammalia; Primates; Hominidae.